UUUCCUGAGGGGCGCUGCAGCGGAUCUUCCGUCAGGCUCGGGGAAUGCUUUCUUAACCAACGGCGCUCUUCAAUU
This 75-nucleotide non-coding RNA is filed under the name Gammaproteobacteria bacterium. RNAcentral describes it as "SAH sequence". It matches the Rfam family "SAH (S-adenosyl-L-homocysteine) riboswitch aptamer". Lineage: Bacteria; Pseudomonadati; Pseudomonadota; Gammaproteobacteria. The record is from RNAcentral.